UCCGGAGAGGGAGCCUGAGAAACGGCUACCACAUCCAAGGAAGGCAGCAGGCGCGCAAAUUACCCACUCUCAGAUAGAGGAGGUAGUAAAGACAAAUAUCGAUGCAGGACCUAUAUGAGGCUCUGUAAUCGAAAUGAGUGCAUUAUAAAUCCUACAACAAGGAUCUAUUGGAGGGCAAGUCUGGUGCCAGCAGCCGCGGUAACUCCAGCUCCAAUGGCAUAUAUUAAAAUUGUUGCAGUUAAAAAGCUCGUAGUUGGAUCUGGGCAUUGGUGUAGAGGCUGUGGGUGUAUGGUUGAAUGGGUUAACGCCUGUUUGGCUAUGCUUCGCAGUGAGUCUGCGCCGUGUCUACUAGCUGUAUCUGUGUAGUGGGCAAUGCAUGGAUGUUGGCGAUUGUGGGGUUGGUUUCCAGUAAUGGAGCUAGCUUCCUUCGUCAAUAUGUGCUAUCAUGCCUUUAACCGGGUGUGUGGUACGGACAGCACGUUUACUUUGAACAAAUUUGAGUGCUCAAAGCAGGCCUUGUUGCCUGAAAAGUCUUGCAUGGAAUAAUGGAAUAGGACUUCGGUCCUAUUUUGUUGGUUUAACAGAACUGAAGUAAUGAUAAAGAGAGACAGACGGGGGCAUUUGUAUGGCAGCGCGAGAGGUGAAAUUCGUGGACCGUUGCCAGACAACCUAAAGCGAAAGCAUCUGCCAAGUAUGUUUUCAUUUACCAGGAGCGAAAGUCAGAGGUUCGAAGACGAUCAGAUACCGUCAUAGUUCUGACCAUAAACGAUGCCAUCUGAUGAUCUGUGGGAACUCCUUUUGUGAGCCCACGGGCAAUCCCCGGGAAACCUGUAAGUUUAUGGGUUCCGGGGAAAGUAUGGUUGCAAAGCUGAAACUUAAAGGAAUUGACGGAAGGGCACCACCAGGAGUGGAGCUUGCGGCUUAAUUUGACUCAACACGGGAAAACUCACCCGAACCGGACACUAUGGCGAUUGACAGAUUAGUUGUUCUUUCAUGAUUUGGUGGCAAGUGGUGCAUGGCCGUUCUUAGUUCGUGGUACGAGCUGUCUGGUUAAUUCCGUUAACGAACGAGAUUCUAUCCUGCUAAUUAGCCCAUAUGUACGUUUGUGGUAUCUCUACUUGAUCCCGUGUGGGAGCAUGUAGGGAGCCGCGAGCGUGUGGUGCUUCUUAGAGGGAUUGGUGAAUAGCCAAAUCACAAGAGAAAGAGCAAUAACAGGUCUGUGAUGCCCUUAGAUGUUCGGGGCCGCACGCGUGCUACACUGACAGUGGUAGAGAGUUUGAUUCCGAGCUCGAAAGGGCGAGGCAAGCUUUUCAAUUACUGUCGUGCCUGGGAUCGGGGUUUGUAACUAUCCCCCGUGAACCAGGAAUUCCUAGUAAGCACAAGUCAUCAGCUUGUGCUGAAUACGUCCCUGCCCUUUGUACACACCGCCCGUCGCUA
This 1437-nucleotide ribosomal RNA is filed under the name Oogyrodactylus sp. ex Farlowella sp. WB-2020. Its description in RNAcentral is "SSU rRNA". It matches the Rfam family "Eukaryotic small subunit ribosomal RNA", at positions 382 to 1681 of the family's 1831-position model. The record is from RNAcentral. Lineage: Eukaryota; Metazoa; Platyhelminthes; Monogenea; Gyrodactylidea; Oogyrodactylidae.